RNAcentral lists this long non-coding RNA (240 nucleotides) under Hordeum vulgare. Its description in RNAcentral is "long non-coding RNA (HVUL_LNC021535)". The record is from RNAcentral. Lineage: Eukaryota; Viridiplantae; Streptophyta; Magnoliopsida; Poales; Poaceae.
UCUUUUCUUUCAGUUGAUCAAUUAGCCGUGACAGGAUCUUAUCUUUCCCAUGGUCUCACGCAUUUACGCUGCCCACUGUCUUUGUACUGUUUCCAGGAGGCCUCUAGAUUCAGGAAUCUCAUGCCCACUGUUAAGAGUGGAUCACCGCUGCAUCUUAACAAGGAAUGACUCCUACAUCGUGGCACGGAUGUUUUUAUUAAUGUUGUCAACUAAUUGUUGCUAGAAUGUAACACGUACGAC